CUGAGCGGGAGGAGACGAAGGGACGGUGGACCGGGCGCCAUCCGCGCACCGGGCAGGCGCGGAGACCCGCGUGGGACAGACACCUGGAGCGCAGCUGCCAGGUAUGAACAGUAAUGGAACAUAUUUUGGUUAUGAGUCACCUGGUGGACAGUGGAUUGAAUGAACCGUAUCCAUCCCCAUCAUGAUGUACAACACCAAGUCUCCUCACUAACUCGCGUUUUGCAGUGGAAUAUGAAGAGGAGCUGGAAUACCCAAAAUGUCCUAAUGCUGUCUCUACAUUACUGCCAUGGUACAAUUGUCCAGUUUUACAUAAGCAUAUUGAGGACAAUGAAAACAAUACUCUUACUACUAUUUCACUCAGUUUGGAAUCCUCCAGGUAAUUUACCUGAAAGCAAGAGAGACCAAAGAACAACUAACCACUCUGCCAAAAUUUUCCCCCUGCAGAGCCUGGCGUUAUGAAGUUGAGCUAACAAAGAAGGCUCAGCAGUUAUGGCCUUUGAUGACUC
Molecule: long non-coding RNA, 506 nt
Filed under: Aotus nancymaae (Ma's night monkey)
Lineage: Eukaryota; Metazoa; Chordata; Mammalia; Primates; Aotidae
Description: lncRNA (ENSANAG00000039549.1)
Source: RNAcentral